AUGGACCAAUCCAUCCCUUUUUCCCGUGCAUAUGCAUCAGAUUCGGAUGACGAUGGUCUCGAUGAAAAAGUUGAUGAGGAGGGGUUCACACCGAAGGAGGCCCAAGCAUUCAAGAAGGUAUUCGGGCGGGAUCACAAGACACCAUUGUUCAAGGAUCUUAGUCUCGCGGAUGAAGCCGUUGUGGAUGGUGGCAAAUGCAUAUCUCUUGGAGCUAGGCCAAGUUCUCAC
RNAcentral lists this ribosomal RNA (228 nucleotides) under Triticum aestivum (bread wheat). RNAcentral's name for it is "partial small subunit ribosomal RNA". Lineage: Eukaryota; Viridiplantae; Streptophyta; Magnoliopsida; Poales; Poaceae. The record is from RNAcentral.